Small nuclear RNA from Mustela erminea (ermine), 189 nucleotides. RefSeq annotates it as U2 spliceosomal RNA. The transcript has a single exon. NCBI's taxonomy places the organism in Eukaryota, Metazoa, Chordata, Mammalia, Carnivora, Mustelidae. The record is from RefSeq and is a predicted model, not a curated record.
AUCUCUUCUCUGCCUAGUAGCUAAAAUCAAAUGCAGUAUCUGCUUUCACCAAUUAGAGCAUCUGAUGUGUUCUCUGUCUGUGUACUGGGCAUUAAGUUACUGCCUGGAAUUAGAUGGGUUGGGAGUUUGCUCUCUCCACUCCCCGCCUCAGCCUGGAAUUGCAUUACUUCUAGGAAUGAUGCAUUCCUU